UUCUAUUUUGAAUAUUUAUUGUUAGCACAACUGGCAACCUUGGUACGGGAUCGGACAAACGUCAACGCGUUGGCGCCGAAAAGGAAUUGUCAUUGUGAGAAAAUUGAUCGAAACUGCGACACGUUUUUUCUUGACCUGGCAGUUAGUUAGUUUUUAGUGAAUAGUUUUAGAGAAAACAUAGGUGGAAUCUAUUUGGCUAGUUGCGCGUGAUUUGAGUGCUCGCGGGUUUGUGAGUCGGAAGAGUUUGAGUGACCGUUCGGUUGUUCCGGUUAGGUGUACCGGGUUGAGCUCAAUUAGAGCGGUAGGAAAGAAAAAGCCUUCAAAUAGCCGGUGAUAUCCGACGGUUUAGAGUUGCCAGAGCUAGAGCUUAGGGUAAACGGCGAAACUUAUUUGUAA
Long non-coding RNA from Uranotaenia lowii, 396 nucleotides. RefSeq lists it as uncharacterized. The record is from RefSeq and is a predicted model, not a curated record. NCBI's taxonomy places the organism in Eukaryota, Metazoa, Arthropoda, Insecta, Diptera, Culicidae. The transcript has 4 exons.